Molecule: long non-coding RNA, 6635 nt
Filed under: Sus scrofa (pig)
Lineage: Eukaryota; Metazoa; Chordata; Mammalia; Artiodactyla; Suidae
Description: lncRNA (ENSSSCG00035032676.1)
Source: RNAcentral
GUAUUUGUUUUCCCUGUGUCUGGUCGGUUUCACUUGUGACUGUUUCAACUAGAACCCAAAGCAUGGAAACUGAGCGUUUUGAUGAGUGAGCACAGCCUUGACCCAAGGAAACGCACUGCUUGGGUUAUGUUUGGAAAUAAGAGAGACGUGACCCCGUCUCUCGUGACCAGGGCCUCUGGGUUUGGCGGUGCACGCGAGCGCACUUAGAAGGCCCUUCCUUGUGGAUCAGGAUGGGGAGCCGUCCUCGCCCAGCCCCUCGGUAAUGACUGCUGUGUCCCGCAGUGUCCCUUGUCUGUGAGUGGGGUGCCUGGGGACGGGGACCGCCCGGAAAGAGCACACUGUUUAUACCGUCCAGGAAUGCACAAGCCAAAAUUAAAGCCUCUCCUUGGAGGAUUUUAAUCCCAGGAGUUUGAGGAGCGUCUGAGACAUUGGCGGUAAAGAGUCCUGUAGGUAGCCCAGGACCCAGCAGGCCUUUUCACUGUCCCUUUGACCCACCUUCUUCUGCCCUAGAUGGUGGGGACUCGUGAUGGUGACCAUUUGAAGGCGGGGUGACGAUGUAGAAAGAGCAAGGCUGCUGUUCGGCCAGCGCGUCGCACUGGUGGACACACGGGUGCUGGACCAUCACGUCCUUCCACUCUCUCAGAUGAGCGGUCCUCCUCAGACCCCUCGGGAGCCCACACCCCUCUGGGCGUCCUGGCUGCUUCAUCACCUGCAGGGGUAACACCUGCUUUGUUGGGAGAAGGGCACCUGCAGGACCCGUGUCUGUUCACAUCGGUCAGUGCCGUCUGUUCAGUUUGCUCAUAUCGGUCAGUGCCGUCUGUUAAGUUUGCUCAGUGUCGUCUCUGAUCAGGGGUGUGGGGGUAACCGCCAGGACAUCCCUGGUCCCAGUCCCACCUCUGCCACUGAGUGUCCUCGAGACCUGGAGGUACCGCCCCACGUCUUGCCUCCUCUGUAAUAUCCUGCACAUGUUAACAGUGAUCACAGCAUCGUGGGCUCGUUUGCAAGACUAAGUGAUGAGAAAAGCAUAUGACAAGAGUCCCAGUUCCGCAGCAUAUCAUGGGUCCAUCUGAAAAGGUAGCUUUUAUUUAUUUAUUUAUCUUUAGGGCCGCACUCACGGCCUAUGGAGGUUCCCAGGCUAGGGGUUGAAUUGGAGCUGUAGCCACUGGCCUGUGCCACAGCCACAGCCACGCCAGAUCCGAGCCACGUCUGCACCUGACACCAUAGCUCACGGCCACGCCAGAUCCUUAACCCAAUGCGUGGAGGCCAGGGAUGGAACCUGCAUCCUCAUGGAUGCUCCGCAGAUUGGUUUCUGCGGAGCCACGACGGGAACUCCAGAAAAGGUAGCUUUUAAAUUGUAUGACAGGUUCCCCCUGAGAAGAGGCAGCUUCACGCAUGAACUCCUGUGUCUGAAAAGUCUCAGAACUUUCCCCAAAGAGGGAAGGGAAGGACGGUGGGAAGUGGAGGCCAAGGACCCUCGGAGCAGGGGCGGAGGAUCACGGGAAACGGGAUGAACUUUGGCAAAUGAAGAUGCUGAGCAGGUGCGUUUUUUCUCCCUUUCCGUUGGCUUCGUUGCUUCAAGUGGCAAAGCAGGUGUCACGUUUGUGGACAACUCUGUUCACUUUUAAGGCUCGGUUUAUUUCAUGGGGAUUUGGAACAAAGAAAAAUCAAUGCGAUGGUCGGCUUUGGGAGGCAGUUGAGAAAGGACAGGCCUCCAUGGGACUCUUGGACAUUAAUCAGGAGCCUCUGAAGUUUACUCAGCCUGGAAUUCUAAAAAAAGAUUAGUUAGGCAGUAGUUUACCUUAGACCGUUACGAGAUGGACUUUAGCCAAAACAGACUGUCAAGCCCGGCAGAAAAGUUGGGGGAAGGGAUUAUUUUUAGCCUUCUAAAAAGAGCUUUAAUAUUCCCAUGAGUUUUGUUACUUAUUGACACUGAAGUGAUGGGGUACAAUUUUCAACUUUGUAAAAACCCUUCAGUUUCACCCUGUUUUGUUUUUGUUUUGUUUUUUAAUAACCAUCCCUGUGGCAUAUAGAAGUUCCCAGGCUAGGGGUCAAAUCGGAGCUGCAGCUGCUGGCCUACGCCACAGCCAUGCCCCAUCCGAGCUGCAUCUGCAAACCACACCACAGCUCACGGAAACGCCAGAUCCUUAACCCACUGAGUGAGGCCAGGGAUCAAACCUGCGUCCUCACGGAUCCUAGUCAGGUUCUUAACCCACUGAGUCACAAGGGGAACUCCUAUUCACUUUUUCAUUAAAUUCCAAUUCAGCAGCUACUACUGUACCUAGAUUUAAGGUAGUGGGGCCAGGACUUGAAUGUAAGCUUAGCAGGGCAGCCCCAGUGAUGGUCAGUUCUUACUGGUCUUCACCCACACUGACGAGUGCCGACCUGUACCCAGUAGCAUCUCGUGCACCUCAGAGUGUGUGACUCCUGGGGCCAGGCCUGGGAGGAGAUUGAAGCUUCCACCCUUCUGUCUCUGGGAUCAUUCCCUCUGAGAAGCCAGCUGCCGAGCUUGGAGGACGCUCAGGCCGUCCUCUGGGGAGGACCUGAGGCCACGUGCUGAGCCACCUUGGGAGCUGGUCCCCUGUCCUCGCCAGGCCCUCACGGGACUGCUGAUCCCGCUCUCAUCUUGACUCGAACGACAGACCCUGAGCCCGAACCACCAAGCUAAACCGCUUCCCAGUUUCUGACCCACACAAACGGUGUGAGAUAACAAAUGCUUAAAAUCAUUUCUACCCACUUAGUUUGGGGAUAGUUAUGCAGCAAUAGGUAACUAAUACAGUUGGAAAAGCAGUCUUUAGCUGGCCGUUCAGAGUCCAGACGUGGACUGUUUAUUCAGUGCUACUUAGUUCCAAAUGAAUGCAAAGUGAGUUAAAUUUUAGGUCCCCAGCUAGAGUGAGGUUUGCGUUGGGGUACAUGACCCCAUCCGACACCGUCCACUGCUCCUGGACCUCUUCCCUAAUCAGCCUGGGAUGGGAUGUGUUCAUAUGGCAACGACCGUCCAGAACCCUGGCUGCGAGAGCAGGUUGAGACGGCUGAUUCUCCGGAUGGCUGAGGUUUAACCCUUUCAUGAAUUGGUGGGUUCCUCCUUUUCGAGCACCAUAUUGUGCAUAUAUUUAAAUUGAUUUCAGUGUGUGUGACUCUGAAAUGUAUCACCUGCUCCCCUGACUUCUCAAGCAGAAUACACUGGCCGCCUCGGUGACCCUGCACUGCCGUUACUGUGAGGUCUCAGGGGCGACUCUGAGGUGCCAGCAGCCUGGGGUGCAGACACACCCGGUAGGGGACGAUGUGGACAUGGCUUGGUCCCUGCAGCCGCCCUGGACGCCUUCUCUGCGGCCUCUCCAAGCCGCUCUCUGCGCCUCACCCCUGACAGGAGAACGCAAACGACCUCGCGUGCAUUAGAGCCCGUGCUGUGUUCGACCCUCUGCUGAAGGGCCCGGCGGCUGCCCUCUAACCUCUGCCCGUCUUCUCCCUCCUUCCCGGGGCUCCCUGAUUCGUAUUUAACUAACAUUUAAUACACAUUAAUGCUAAAGUUUAUUUUUAAACCAAUUCCUAGUUUCAUUAACUUUGUUUUGAAAGGAAAUUUUCCACACCGUCGUAAAAGGGAAAUCAAUAUGAUUUUGCCAAUAGAAAGAUAAGACUAAGCGUAUAUGCCAUGAAUAUCGCUGGUAUUUGCUCUUAGUCUUCUCAUAAGACUAAGAGGAGUAUCGCAUUCAUUCCUCGUAGCUCUUAUCGCCAGAGAAGAUUCUAGGCCCAAGGCCUGUCUUCUCUUCUUGAACAUGAGACUAGCAACUUGCAGAGAGAUGCUGAAAAGCAACUCAAAACCAAACCAAGAUGCCUUUCAAUUGGAAGGGAUUGAUCAAGAAAAAAGGCAGGACUGUCUCAUCAAAAUGGGUCCCUGUGGGGUCUGGGAGCCGUCUCUGCUCAUCCAUGGUUUGGUAGGCUGGAUCCCAGCCUUGGAUCUGAAGCCAGCCUCCCCCAUUGGUGGUUCCAGUGUCUUUAGACGUCUGGGCAGCAUUCCAAGCACAGCUCUGCGUGGGACUGUCAACUCUGGGUACAAUCUUCUUAGCUUCCCUCCCCCUGUUCCGUAGCUUCGGGAUGAAGAGCUCUGUCUUUGGUUCACAUCCUGUCUCUCGUCCUCACGGCGUGAUUCUGAGUUAGUUGAGCAAAUGGACAUGACACUGUAUGUUGAUCAGGUUAUUUUGAGGGUCAAGGGUGGUGACGUUGGAAGACAGUGGCCUUCACUGCGAGCAGGAUUCAUCUGAGUGGCCGCAAGUGUAGCACUGACCCUUUGAAGAUUCUGUGUUCAGGUUUCGGGGAAAGAAUCUCCUUCCCUUUCAAGAAACAUUCCGCUUUUAAGACAGUACAAGUUGUCUGUUGUUGCCAACCGAACAUUCCUGGCUGAUCUGAGUACCUUCUGGAAUGAGAACAUCCAUGAUGCUUAGUGCUGAUGGAGGGAAAAUAAUGUGAGCAAGCGUUAGAACAGGUUAAUCAUCUGGGAAGCCUUUUCAUGUAAAUGCCAAGGUAUUUUGAAGGAGGGCAUGGUAGGAAAUUUCUCGGUGCCAGGCUCCUUGAAAAAUGAAUUCCUCAGGGUACCUUGACGGUCCCUAAAGAGGCAGGCAGGGGAUGCAGAUCCUGUUCUGCUCUCUUCCUAAUGGACAGGCUCCCUUUUUCCCUUUGUAUCGCUCCCUGCUUCUUCCUUCUUCACUCCCGUUAAGAGUGGAGCCCCUCAGGAGAAGCUAAACCAGCGAGCGUUGGAUUCCUGAGCCUCUCACACACUGUGCCACCCGGGAGCGGUUGGGUGGGGGGGGCUGGUAUGUGAGGUACCACCCGAGGGCCUCAAAGAGUCUGCAGUGACCCUCCCCCCGGUCCCCGUCCUGUGGACAAGGAAAUGGAGAGUCUCGGGGAAGCCAUCCCCUCAAAGGGACAGAGCUGGACUGGAACCUCCUGCGUUUCCUUUUGGUGCUGGAACACGUGGGCACCGACACGAGUGGUUUAUUAAGACAACAGCCCUGAGUUCCCAAGUCUGAAACGUAUCUGAUGGAGCUGAAAUCAAGUGGGGGCAGAAGUGGUUCCAUCUGGAGGCUUUAGGGGGAAACCGUUCCUUCCAUCUUCCAGAUUCGGAAGAUUCUUGACUCGCGGCCACACCCCUGCCAUCUCUGCCUCUGCCUUCACAUCCCCUCUCUAACUCUGCCCUCCUACCUCCCCCGUGUAGCCUCCCCCCGUGAUUACCCGGACACCCCUGCAUGGUUCAGGAUAAUCUCCGUAGCUCAGGAUCGUUACCUUGACCCCGUAUGCAAAGCCCGUCUGGCCAUGCGCGCAUCACCGUCAUGGUUUCUAGGGACUGGGACCUGGCCGCCUUUGGCAGGGACGCCUCUCAGCGUAUCAGCCACCACCCUCCUCCCAGCCUCAGGUCAGAAAGAGCUGCCGACAGCACUCUGGGGGCCUGGCGUCUGCAUCUCCGCGCCAAGGACAGGGAGGUGUCCUUGUCUUUGGCCACCAGCCAGGAUCCUGGACUCAGGGUCCGACAGCUCGUUGCAGACUCCCAGGUCCAGGGGAUGCACUUGGCCUGUGCUGGACAUGAGACGCUGAGCUGUGGUUCCCUGUGUGCAGGGAACGCAUGAUGGGCUCGUGACAGCACGGGGUUAUUUCUUGUUCUGUUCCCAUCACGGUGGUUACACUUUCUUGGCUGUUCGAAAAAAGGUUUUCAGCCUGUGUUUAUAACAUCGCCGCCCAAGAGGUGGACAGACCCAGCUUUUCCGGACUUGGUUUGUAGUAAGCCAUUAGCAGAUCAGGUCAGAAAGAACAGUCUUUGGGAGUUUGACCUGCUUGUCUUUAUUAAUCUGUUUGGAUUUUCUUGGCCCGUUGCCCCACAAGUUUGAAAGACGCAGUGAGCUUUCAGGAGAACUCUUCAGCAUGUAGAUUUUUUGUGUGUGGUUUUGUGUACUUGUCUGAUGCCCUCCUGACCCCAAGGCAAGGACUCACGCCGCUUGUCAUUGGGGAGAAAUGUGUACUGAUUCCAUCUGGGGCUGGUCUGUUUCUCCCGCUCUUCAUUCAGCUCCCCUGGAGUUUCUGUGCGAUUUGUGCUGGGCUCACGGCUCUUGACCUCAGGACUCUCACUGGUCCAGAUGAGAUUGCUUUGUUUGGAACAGCUGAUGCUCCUGGGUUCCUUGUGACAUCUGGGUCACGCCUGUUUAGUCUGACACGAAACACCCAUGGGUUUCGGAAACCUCCGUGGGUUUUGGAAAUCUCAUUUGCGGGCCACUGCAGGUGAUCUUGAAAAUCCCCCAUUCCUUGUUGGGUUUAGGUCCUAACCCCUUGGUGUGAGGAGGAAGAUCACUGUCAGCAGGUUAGGAGGGAACUCGUGCAAUAAAGCCAGCCCAGGGUGGACUGACUUGCAAUGAGGUCAUCACCACUUUAUAUCUGGGUGCAUGUGUCCAUGUGCGUGUGAGAGAGAGAGAGAGAAAGGCGAGUGUGUAAGUGGUAGAGGAGGCAACAAUCUAAAAAAGAUCAGAAAACCCCUACAAGGAAGAUGAAUAUGUAUAUAUUCAUAUAUAUAUAAAACGUCUGACUGGGUUGCUUUGCUGUACAGUGGAAAUUGCCCAAACACUGUAAAUCAACUGUAAUGGAAAAAAUAAAAA